RNAcentral lists this non-coding RNA (100 nucleotides) under Symbiodinium microadriaticum. RNAcentral's name for it is "TPP sequence". It matches the Rfam family "TPP riboswitch aptamer (THI element)". Rfam says of the family: Vitamin B(1) in its active form thiamin pyrophosphate (TPP) is an essential coenzyme that is synthesised by coupling of pyrimidine and thiazole moieties in bacteria. The previously detected thiamin-regulatory element, thi box was extended, resulting in a new, highly conserved RNA secondary structure, the THI element, which is widely distributed in eubacteria and also occurs in some archaea. Analysis of operon structures identified a large number of new candidate thiamin-regulated genes, mostly transporters, in various prokaryotic organisms. Lineage: Eukaryota; Dinophyceae; Suessiales; Symbiodiniaceae. RNAcentral also lists the same sequence under 1 other name. The record is from Rfam by way of RNAcentral.
GGUAGGCCUUGCGGGUGCGAGCUCGCUGCAGUCUCGCUGAGAUAACCGUUCGAACCUGAUCAGGGUAGUUCCUGCGAAGGGACUGGGCCGCCUUACCUCU